Long non-coding RNA from Vidua chalybeata, 1193 nucleotides. RefSeq lists it as uncharacterized. The transcript has 3 exons. The record is from RefSeq and is a predicted model, not a curated record. NCBI's taxonomy places the organism in Eukaryota, Metazoa, Chordata, Aves, Passeriformes, Viduidae.
AACUUGUGCCCCGAACCUCAGUCUGACCCACACUUUUAUUCUUAAAGACGUUCCAUAUGCAAAACACUGCACGACUUUUUCAUGCGUAUUCAACCCCUGGCCCCGCCUGUCCUCGCGUCUCAUGCUAAGUAAGUCCACGCCCUUCUGGGCAUGCGUGGUUUGCUGUGGUGGUCGUACGGGGGUCUCUUGGUGGUCCUGAGGCUGAAGAUUGUGGUCUUCCUCAUGAUUGAACUUUUGAACUUUUCCUCUCUGCGCGUGCGCUUUUGGUCCUUUGGUGCUUAUCUGAGUACGUCUGUCAGUCUUGAAAGGCUUGGAGACAGAGGACCUUCUUUAUCUGGGUUCUUUUCUUCUUCUGGUAUUGUUCUUUAUACAAGAAGCUUCAGAAAUUUGCAUUUUCCUUUGCUCUUUGUAUUAGGCAGAGGUUUCUUAAGUAAAAGGUUGAAAAUUCAACAGAUAACUCUACAAGCUAAAUUAGAAAUGCUUAAUUCAUUUUGUUAACCUAACUCUAAAAAUCUCUGUUUCACCUCGAGAGCUGUCAAUGAGCAGAAGGGCAGCUGAGAUGCUGAAAAGCAGCAAAGCUGAACAGCCUGCCUCAGCUUCAGCAGUGUGCAAUUGACUGAAGGCAAAACACGAAGCAGCAGAGCAGCGGGCUUCUGUGCGCACUGAAGCUGCCCCUGUGUUCUCUGCAUCUCGGAGCCUCUGGGGAGCAACAAGAAUUUCCAAGGUGGUCUAGGAGCCCGUCUGAAGCCCCUCAUUUUCCAUUCUGCCUUCCGAUUGCCACGAGAAAGAAUCCCUUCCUCCACUGCAGUUCCGGCUUAGAACAGGACACAGUGCAGUGAUUCAAAUGGACUUAUUCUUCAUUGGAUUCAUCUUGCUUUGGUGGUUUCUGUGGACUCACCUGUUCCCACGUGGCGAUUACAAUGGACUUUCGUUGUUACACUUGCUCCCCCCUCUUUCCUCUGUGGACUAUAACUGGAGCCCCGAGUCGACCAGAACUUCGGAGACUCCCCCGACACGACAGACGGAUCCCCAUCGUCCGGACCACUGAGGAUCUCGCCUGUGUUGGUAGCUAUUCCCAUACCCCUCUUCUCUCUCUCUCUCUCUCUCUCUCCUUUUAUCUCCUUUCCGAUCCCCACUAUCGCAUUUACUGGUUUGGCCCCUAAUAAAGGUGCAUUUGUUGUGAUUAACUGAUA